UACGGGAGGCAGCAGUGGGGAAUAUUGCACAAUGGGCGCAAGCCUGAUGCAGCCAUGCCGCGUGUAUGAAGAAGGCCUUCGGGUUGUAAAGUACUUUCAGUCGUGAGGAAGGUGUUAAGGUUAAUAACCUUAGCAAUUGACGUUAGCGACAGAAGAAGCACCGGCUAACUCCGUGCCAGCAGCCGCGGUAAUACGGAGGGUGCGAGCGUUAAUCGGAAUUACUGGGCGUAAAGGGCACGCAGGCGGUUAAUUAAGUUGGAUGUGAAAUCCCCGGGCUUAACCUGGGAAUGGCAUUCAAGACUGGUUAGCUAGAGUCUUGUAGAGGGGGUAGAAUUCCAUGUGUAGCGGUGAAAUGCGUAGAGAUGUGGAGGAAUACCGGUGGCGAAGGCGGCCCCUGGGACAAAGACUGACGCUCA
RNAcentral lists this ribosomal RNA (416 nucleotides) under uncultured bacterium. Its description in RNAcentral is "bacterial SSU rRNA". It matches the Rfam family "Bacterial small subunit ribosomal RNA", at positions 340 to 749 of the family's 1533-position model. The record is from RNAcentral.